Molecule: unclassified non-coding RNA, 4460 nt
Filed under: Hermetia illucens (black soldier fly)
Lineage: Eukaryota; Metazoa; Arthropoda; Insecta; Diptera; Stratiomyidae
Description: uncharacterized LOC119657425, transcript variant X1
Source: RNAcentral
UGCUCUGCACCACUCAAAGGUGGGAAAUGUUGGUAUGAAGAAGUGUGAAUCAAAAGGUACCUAUAGUGAUCGUGGACAAUAUUUUUUUAGUAAAAAGCAGCUGUCUGUCUUGUCUUCAGUGUUAUCGCGGAGAUAUUGAAAGACGGCGGUUUCGCACUGUAUACCCGCGCGUUCCAGUGAUCGUGGCUCAAUUAGAUCUCCGCGUAUCAGCUCAAACUUCGCAAGUGAAGUGAGAAAGGUGCUUGUUUUCGUGGAGUGAUUGCAGUGAAGAUCGGCAUGUUCCAAACCCGUGUGCAUCGCGGUUAGAUCGAUGUAUCUGCGAGCAUAUCGACUGGUCUAGCUGGAUAGAUCUCAUCAGGAGUACACUGCAAGCAACUUGACUGACUCUAUGAAAAGUCGGUUUUUCAAAUCCAGAAAAACGUGAUUCGAGCGUUGAUCUUCACUUCACUUACCAUUUAGAUGGAAAGGAAAACAUGUGUGUGUAUAUUGCAGUUACUGUGCUACGACUCAUGUGAAGCUUCUUUCCAAGCUACUUUUCCCUAAUACUGGCUAAUGUGAAGACUCCAUGAUCGAAAACAGAGCUACGACGGUAGACGGUAAAAUCGGGUAAAUCAAGUUCUUCUCCAUUGGUUAGACUGUCUUACUCGAAGACGAUCCUCUUGUAUGCACUCGCAUGCAGGCAAGUACAAAUGAUCGAGACAGUACGUGACACAGUUGAACCAAAAAGCAUGUCUGCUUGCUGUAGUUGCAGCGAACAUAACUAGGUGCACUCAUGAAGAUCUACUGCUGGCAUCGUUGCGGACAUGCAUACACUGUAUUGAAGAUCGCGACAUGAUUGUGCCAAAUAUGCGACAAGUUAAUCACGAUCGUUAGAUAGUCCAUUUACGUAUGCAAAUCAGACCAAGUACUUUCUUUGCAGCCAAUCGGUACCUCUAGCGGUUGACGCCUCUGACAAUUAAACGGGCAAUAGUGCUAUGCAUCAGACUUUCUGAAGGAGGGAAGUAAAAUUACAAAAGUCCCGUCUCAAUGAUAGUGUAAUAAAUUUACCUAAUGUUUAAUUAAUUUAGUGUAAAAGUCAGUGUUAUCUCACGCAAAAUGGAAAUAACCUUAAACUCCACGCUACCAGCGAGAAUGGUCUCGACUACUCCACUGAAUGGCUGUAAUGAAGAUCAUCAAGUUGCCUGUGUGCCUACUAUUCUACUGCAUGACUCGUCGAAGAAAGGUAAUAAGAAAAGUGAAGAAACGGUUCAUAUCCCCACUAAAAUGGUGUUAGCAAACGCAGUAGUAUCUGAUUCGGAGCAACAACAACACUAUCAGCCGCAGCAGCAGCAACCAGUGAUCUUCACAACCAGUGGAGGAAAAUCAUGUUCAUCACGGAUACACGUCAAUCGUACAGAGUGCACAAGUGCAGUGACCGAAUCAGUCUCUUCUUCGGAGAAAGACUUUCACGUUGUUAAGAUACAAAUUUCGCCAAAUUUCAAAAAUACUAGUAGCAAUAGUAACAGCAGUAACGCCAGUAGCAUCGGGAUCAACAAUAAUACAAUCGAAAUUCAGAGCCUAAAUAUCUCAAACGCGAGUGGUGACCAUCAAGAUUUCAGUGAAAUAACAGAGCAAAAAGAUAAGCUUGAAAAUACUCAAGUUUUAAGCAAUGAUGAACGAUCUUCGACGGUUGUGAUUGGAGGUGAUCUUUACACGAAUCCAGCGAGUGUAAAAGAUUCGAAUUCGUUUGAAAAAAGUGAUCUUACCAGUGACCUUUCGAUAGUGCAGCAACCACUGAAAUCCCCAAAAGUGUCGAUUGUAUCGUUUAUUUCGGAUGACCAACAAAACAAAUAUUUGAAUGAGGAUCGUGUUGACGAAGAUCAGUGCAAAUUAUCUGUAAAAAGUGUUAGUCAUAAGAGGAAUAUUUCACAAACAUUUUUGAACAAAAGUAAUGACGAAAUAUCGCUGCUGAAACAAGACCCUGAGUUAUCGCCGAAGUCAACCACUCUGUUAACCCUGCCUUCAAAUCCGCUUGCUGUGGACCAGGAUAUCCGAGAAAAUCUUACUGGAAUAACCACAAAAAUAUCAUCUGAAAAAGAGGAUUCACCGGUACUUUCGACGUCGUUCUCCGAUUUAUCUGUUCUUGAGGAAGAUAUUAAGCAAGAUAAAAAAGAAGCUACAUUGCUAACCUCAUCCAGAUCAACAGAACAAUCACCUUCGGCAGUUGCACCCGAAGAAGAAGAAACUUCCAUUGAAGUACUAAACACUCACGUAAUUGUGGAUACAUCAGGUAUACAAACAGCGACCAUUACAUCGAAUGAAAUGGUACAAAAACCUAGCGGUGAUCUUGAAGUCAGUAACCCGACCUAUUUGUACUACAUGAUGACUAGUGGACAAUGUUCGCCAAGUGACACCUUGGAUAGUGGAACAUGUAGCGAUAUGGAAAAUGGUGGUAGCAAUAGUAACAGUACAUCUGAAUCGGUUACGCCACCACCGCUUCCUAAGAAAAUGGGUCCCAAGUUAAAGAUGCUGCACCUGAAGACAGGAUCCAUUAUUUCUGAGGACCAUUCUUCCGAUGAGCAAGGGGACCAAGCGGAUCAGAAGUCAAACGGCCAUACGAGGACGGGAAGUUUCACUGAUAGUGAAGAAUCCGAGUGUAGUCUGAGCUGCGAUUCCUUGAACUCCUCUGAGUUUGCAAGGUCCAUAUCUAUUCCAUCUCCACCCCAUCCACCUAUGAUACCCACCCAAGAUGCGAUCGUUGCAGCGAUCUCACUAUUGCCUGACUGCUUGCUACGUGACAUUCGAGACCGUAAAUUCACCUCUAAAUUGGAGACUACUCCUGAAAUACUCUCGGAUGACUUCUCAAAGGGACUGAAGAUCGAUGAAGAUCAGAUCCGUGAAAGGAACACCACAUGCGUUUUAAUAACGCAAGAUACAACGGACAAUAUCGCUGCUCCGACAUGCAAAUUCGAAACGGAUAAGUUUUACAAGUUUCAUAUAAACGAAAUGGAUGUAACGGACGAUCUUGUUGAGAACAAGCCGAAGAUCUUCAAGGAUGACGAAACCUUCGCUGGAUACAAGGAUAUACACAGUGGAACCUCGACAAUCCGCAGCUCCAAGGGCACCGUCCGGGGAGUCAAGAAUCGUGUACGAAAUGGGAUAGCAACAUUUUUGCAAAUGCAGCAGACGAAUGUCAAGAAUUACAAAGAAAAAGAUUCAGGCAAAGUUGUUUUGUAUACCACGAGCAUGGGUAUCAUACGUGAGACGUAUGCAAAAUGCGCGAACGUAAAACAAAUCUUGCGAACAUUGCUGAUCAAAUUUGAGGAACGUGAUGUGUUUAUGAGCUGCGAAUACCAACAGGAGAUAAAAGAUCGCAUGCAAACGGAUGAAAUUCAAGUUCCGCAAUUAUUUGUUGAAGGACAACAUAUUGGUGAUGCUGCGACUGUUGAACGGUUGAAUGAAAGUGGCGAAUUGCGACAAAUGCUGAAACCAUACAAGUCCAUGUCAUCAUCAUACACUUGCCAAUUCUGCGGAGGCUAUCGGCUGCUCCCGUGUCCAUCUUGUAACGGCUCCAAGAAAUCGGUACAUCGAAAUCACUUCACCACUGAGUUCGUCGCAUUGAAAUGCAUGAACUGCGACGAAGUGGGCCUGGUUAAGUGUCACAACUGCUGAAGUCUCCGUGCAACGCCGCUAUUUAUUAUUAUAAUAGAUGCACAAAACUACUAUUGAAAUCUCAUCCAACUUUCCUAGAUCUAAGAUAUGGCUGCAAGGUGACUGGAAUCCAGUGAAUCCAUCAAACAUGUCCAUCCACAUGCAGUGCAGCCUUUUCUGUCCAGUAUACGGAAAACAUGAACUUUAUUUACCAAACUGUUAUCUUUAAGCAAGCAUUUGACGAGUUUCAAAUCAAUAAGAAGCAAACUGAAUCCAAGGCAUGAAUAUCGUAAAACAAAUAAUAGCAGACAAAUUAAGACUUACUCGAACAUCCAUACUCAAACAUACAAAACUAUCUUUGGAAAGUUCGAUCUUCUAUUAAGGGUAAACCGGUUGUGAUAAUUUCAAAUGGACAUUCCAGAUACUUAACGUACUUACUCCGAUGCUGCUAUUUUCUAGGUGUCUCCUCGGAACCGUCUAAAAUUUAUUGAUCAUCCAAGUUUAUUUUUAUAAAUAAAUUACUAUUUGACGAUGAAUCCGUCCAAUUGGCGAGGAGGCGAGUCUAGAAGAAGAAAGUUUUAUCCAUGCUUCUAUAUUUGUUUUUCCAUAAUUGAAAUGCAAUGCGUUCAUACUUAAUUUUCUAAGCAAAGCUGGUGAAUUGCACAUGGAGGUAUCCGACGAGGGAAUUUGAUUUACAGUCAAUUUGUCAUGGAAUAAAAUUAAAAUUUUAAAUACGAUUUUGCAUAAAGUGGAAGAGAUACAGAUGUCAUUUUGAAGUUGUAAAGCUUUUAUCACUUAAGUAGAAUAAUAAAUAUAUUUUAUUUAAUGAA